AACGAACGCUGGCGGCAGGCUUAACACAUGCAAGUCGAACGCCCCGCAAGGGGAGUGGCAGACGGGUGAGUAACGCGUGGGAAUCUACCCAUCCCUACGGAAUAACGCAUGGAAACGUGUGCUAAUACCGUAUACGCCCUACGGGGGAAAGAUUUAUCGGGGAUGGAUGAGCCCGCGUUGGAUUAUCUAGGUGGUGGGGUAAAGGCCUACCAAGGCGACGAUCCAUAGCUGGUCUGAGAGGAUGAUCAGCCACAUUGGGACUGAGACACGGCCCCAACCCCUACGGGAGGCAGCAGUGGGGAAUAUUGGACAAUGGGCGCAAGCCUGAUCCAGCCAUGCCGCGGGAGUGAUGAAGGCCUUAGGGUUGUAAAGCUCUCUCACCGGAGAAGAUAAUGACGGUAUCCGGAGAAGAAGCCCCGGCUAACUUCGUG
RNAcentral lists this ribosomal RNA (431 nucleotides) under uncultured bacterium. RNAcentral's name for it is "partial 16S ribosomal RNA". It matches the Rfam family "Bacterial small subunit ribosomal RNA", at positions 29 to 507 of the family's 1533-position model. The record is from RNAcentral.